This 624-nucleotide long non-coding RNA is filed under the name Vitis vinifera (wine grape). RNAcentral's name for it is "long non-coding RNA (VVIN_LNC005666)". Lineage: Eukaryota; Viridiplantae; Streptophyta; Magnoliopsida; Vitales; Vitaceae. The record is from RNAcentral.
UGAACAUGGGACUGAGGACAUACCUGCAAUGAUAGAGAUGAUUCAUCAAAUAAAGACUUCAGAGUUGAAGGGUAGCAAACCUGAUCUUAAGGAAGAAACUGAUGAUGAUCAGCCUUACAAACUUUGUGCAGUGUGCCACAGCUUGGGAGGAGCGGCUAUUUUAAUGUAUGUCAUAACACGUCGGAUUGAGGAGAAGCCCCACAGACUUUCAAGAUUGAUCUUGUUAUCACCUGCUGGCUUCCAUGAAGAUUCCAACCUAGUGUUUACAGUGGCAGAGUAUAUUUUCCUUUUAUUUGCCCCUAUCCUGGCACCCCUUGUGCCUGGCUUCUAUAUACCUACAAGAUUCUUUCGUAUGCUGUUGAACAAAUUGGCUCGAGACUUCCAUAACUACCCUGCAGUUGGAGGACUGGUUCAAACCCUGAUGAGUUAUGGCGUUGGUGGAGACAGCUCAAACUGGGUAGGAGUGUUAGGUAUACCACAUUACAACAUGAAUGACAUGCCAGGAGUUUCAUUCCACGUGGCUCUCCACCUCGCACAGAUGAAGCAUGCCAGAAAAUUUAUAAUGUAUGAUUAUGGCAGUUCAUCUGCCAACAUGAAAAUGUAUGGAUCAUCUCAGCCAUUUGA